This 76-nucleotide transfer RNA is filed under the name Nitratireductor indicus. RNAcentral's name for it is "tRNA-Lys". It matches the Rfam family "tRNA". Rfam says of the family: Transfer RNA (tRNA) molecules are approximately 80 nucleotides in length. Their secondary structure includes four short double-helical elements and three loops (D, anti-codon, and T loops). The record is from RNAcentral. Lineage: Bacteria; Pseudomonadati; Pseudomonadota; Alphaproteobacteria; Hyphomicrobiales; Phyllobacteriaceae.
GGGUGAUUAGCUCAGAUGGUAGAGCAGCUGACUCUUAAUCAGCGGGUCCACGGUUCGAGCCCGUGAUCACCCACCA